RNAcentral lists this long non-coding RNA (424 nucleotides) under Mustela putorius furo (domestic ferret). Its description in RNAcentral is "lncRNA (ENSMPUG00000025973.1)". Lineage: Eukaryota; Metazoa; Chordata; Mammalia; Carnivora; Mustelidae. The record is from RNAcentral.
AGAUAACGCCAAAUGCCCCACUAAUUCUGACCACCUUGCAAAUGUUUGUGGUUUUUCACAGGAGAAUCAGAGAAGACUAUCAGGAUGAAUUCUGAGCAUCUUCAGCUGGAUUUUCAUGGAUGCAAGGAGCUAAUACUUAUUGACGGCCUACUGUUUGCUGGCUCGGGCUACAUCCUUUAUCUAUUUUGUUUCAUUAAAUCCUCAAAGUAUCUUGUGAGAAAGCUUCACAUGUGAGAUAAAUGCACUCAAAGACUCCUCACAAGUAGCUCUUUGGAGCUUCAGAUGUGAAAUGGAUCAUUCCUCAAUCUGUAAUAGACCCUUCUGUGAAGCUCUUCAAUCAAACCUGAGAAUUCAAGGUGAAAUUGAGGGGAGGAUGGGAAACCCCUACAGGGGGAUUUGAGUGGACUAGCGGAGAAAGGAACCG